This 790-nucleotide long non-coding RNA is filed under the name Pongo abelii (Sumatran orangutan). RNAcentral's name for it is "lincRNA". Lineage: Eukaryota; Metazoa; Chordata; Mammalia; Primates; Hominidae. The record is from RNAcentral.
GCCCAGCCGCCUGCCACGAUGAGCACCGCGCAGUCGGCCUGCACCUCGGUGACACAGAAAAAACACACAGGGUUGCGGGAGGGGACAUCGGACUGACUUUGGGAGGUUCCGAAUCCCAUUGUAAAGCUGGGGAACGCCUUCCAGAACUCAGAUGGCCAAAUGGGAUUCAUGGACCGCCCUGACUGCAGUGCAUGGGGGUCCUGCUUCCCAGUUCCUCUCAUUUAAUCUCAUCUAAUUCAGUUUUUAGUCCCUUCUUUCUGGACCAACUGAUGUACUAGUCUGAAUGUAAGAAAACCUGGUCCCUGUAGGCCCCCCCCAGGGCAACAGGAUCUGAGCUUCAUGAGAGUGAUGGGACUUUCAGUCCUGUCCUCUCUAAUUCUUUCAGGAUUGAUGGAUGAUGGCCAUGGGUGAGGAAAACGCUUACAAGCCUUAUGAUACCUUCCUUCUCCAAGCUUCAGAAAUAAAUCUUGAAAUUCCCCCUCUAUAGGAAUGUUUCUGAAGGCAUGGACUGCUUUACCUGGGAAGUGCCGGUGAUCAUGGUCAUGAUGAAGUCUCUGUGGCCUGGAGCAUCGAUGAUAAUGCUGUAAUCCUUUUCCUUCCCUUCUCCACAUGUCCAGAAGUUUGGUCCCCAUAAAAUUACAGUGGGCUGGGGACAGUUGCUCACGCCUGUAAUCUCAGCACUUUGGGAGCCUGAAGCAGGAGGAUCACUUGAACUUAGGAAAAGAAGGCCUGCCUGGGCAAUAUGAGUUAACCCAUCUCUACAAAAAAUUAAGAACAGAGAAAAGAAAAA